UACGUAGGGUGCAAGCGUUGUCCGGAAUUAUUGGGCGUAAAGAGCUCGUAGGCGGUGUGUCGCGUCGGCUGUGAAAACCUGGGGCUCAACCCUGGGCUUGCAGCUGAUACGGGCAGACUGGAGUUCGGCAGGGGAGACUGGAAUUCCUGGUGUAGCGGUGAAAUGCGCAGAUAUCAGGAGGAACACCGGUGGCGAAGGCGGGUCUCUGGGCCGAUACUGACGCUGAGGAGCGAAAGCGUGGGGAGCGAACAGG
Molecule: ribosomal RNA, 253 nt
Filed under: uncultured bacterium
Lineage: Bacteria
Description: partial 16S ribosomal RNA
Rfam family: Bacterial small subunit ribosomal RNA
Source: RNAcentral